This is a non-coding RNA of Vicia faba (fava bean), 225 nucleotides long. The record is from the annotation of a GenBank genome assembly. Lineage: Eukaryota; Viridiplantae; Streptophyta; Magnoliopsida; Fabales; Fabaceae.
AUGUCAUUCAGAAGUGUUGUUGAAUCCUCAUUUUCACCUGCAAAUGUUGAAACCCCCGAUGACAACUCCACGCCACUGGGAUUUCUGCUUUCUGUCACCAUCCCUACGGCGUUGAUCUGUGCUGCACUAGGCUACUGGGUGGGCUACCCGCGUUUUAAGAACUGGCUGCAAGCAAGACGUGCUGCAGCAAUGGUGGCUCCCGGCGGUAACAUCGAGAUGCAGUAG